RNAcentral lists this ribosomal RNA (253 nucleotides) under uncultured bacterium. RNAcentral describes it as "partial 16S ribosomal RNA". It matches the Rfam family "Bacterial small subunit ribosomal RNA", at positions 524 to 776 of the family's 1533-position model. The record is from RNAcentral.
UACGUAGGUGGCAAGCGUUGUCCGGAUUUAUUGGGUUUAAAGGGCUCGUAGGUGGCCAACUCAGUCGGACGUGAAAUCCCUCGGCUUAACCGGGGAACUGCGUCCGAUACUGGAUGGCUUGAGAUCGGGAGAGGGAUGCGGAAUUCCAGGUGUAGCGGUGAAAUGCGUAGAUAUCUGGAGGAACACCGGUGGCGAAGGCGGCAUCCUGGACCGACACUGACACUGAGGAGCGAAAGCCAGGGGAGCAAACGGG